GGGGGGCAAGCGUUUGUUCGGAAUUACUGGGCGUAAAGGGCGCGCAGGCGGGCGGGAAAGUCUCUCGUGAAAGCCCACGGCUCAACCGUGGAAUUGCGGGAGAUACUACUCGUCUUGAGUCCGGGCGAGGAGUGUGGAAUUCCCAGUGUAGCGGUGAAAUGCGUAGAUAUUGGGAGGAACACCGGUGGCGAAGGCGGCACUCUGGACCGGUACUGACGCUGAGGCGCGAAAGCUAGGGGAGCAAACGGGAUUAGAUACCCCGGGUAGUCCUAGCUGUAAACGCUGAGCACUUGGUGUAGCGGGUAUCGACCCCCCUGCUGUGCCGAAGCUAACGCAUUAAGUGCUCCGCCUGGGGAGUACGGUCGCAAGGCUG
RNAcentral lists this ribosomal RNA (373 nucleotides) under uncultured organism. RNAcentral's name for it is "partial 16S ribosomal RNA". It matches the Rfam family "Bacterial small subunit ribosomal RNA", at positions 529 to 896 of the family's 1533-position model. The record is from RNAcentral.